ACGCUCGACACCUACGAGGCAGCAGUAGGGAAUCUUCCACAAUGGACGCAAGUCUGAUGGAGCAACGCCGCGUGAGUGAAGAAGGUUUUCGGAUCGUAAAGCUCUGUUGUUGGUGAAGAAGGAUAGAGGUAGUAACUGGCCUUUAUUUGACGGUAAUCAACCAGAAAGUCACGGCUAACUACGUGCCACAGCCGCGGUAAUCUGAGCGGGCUGGCAAGGC
RNAcentral lists this ribosomal RNA (220 nucleotides) under uncultured bacterium. RNAcentral describes it as "partial 16S ribosomal RNA". It matches the Rfam family "Bacterial small subunit ribosomal RNA", at positions 326 to 539 of the family's 1533-position model. The record is from RNAcentral.